CACGGGGGUUGCGAGCGUUGUCCGGAAUUACUAGGCGUAAAGGGCAGGCAGGCGGAUCCAUAAGUUUAUCGUUUAAGGCGUCGGCUUAACCGGCGUAGGGCGGUAGAUACUGUGGAUCUGGAAUGCGGUUGGGGAAGACAGAAUUCCUGGUGUAGCGGUGGAAUGCGCAGAGAUCAGGAGGAAUACCGAAGGCGAAGGCAGUCUUCCAAGCCGUUAUUGACGCUCAACUGCGAAGGUGUGGGUAUCAAACAGGAUUAGAUACCCGCGUAGUCCCUGAGCGGG
Molecule: ribosomal RNA, 282 nt
Filed under: uncultured prokaryote
Description: partial 16S ribosomal RNA
Rfam family: Bacterial small subunit ribosomal RNA
Source: RNAcentral